RNAcentral lists this ribosomal RNA (468 nucleotides) under uncultured bacterium. Its description in RNAcentral is "partial 16S ribosomal RNA". It matches the Rfam family "Bacterial small subunit ribosomal RNA", at positions 28 to 507 of the family's 1533-position model. The record is from RNAcentral.
GACGAACGCUGGCGGCGUGCUUAACACAUGCAAGUCGAACGGAAAGGCCCUGCUUUUGUGGGGUGCUCGAGUGGCGAAAGGGUGAGUAACACGUGAGUAACCUGCCCUUGACUUUGGGAUAACUUCAGGAAACUGUGGCUAAUACCGGAUAGGAGCUCCUGCUGCAUGGUGGGGGUUGGAAAGUUUCGGCGGUUGGGGAUGGACUCGCGGCUUAUCAGCUUGUUGGUGGGGUAGUGGCUUACCAAGGCUUUGACGGGUAGCCGGCCUGAGAGGGUGACCGGCCACAUUGGGACUGAGAUACGGCCCAGACUCCUACGGGAGGCAGCAGUGGGGAAUAUUGCACAAUGGGCGGAAGCCUGAUGCAGCAACGCCGCGUGCGGGAUGACGGCCUUCGGGUUGUAAACCGCUUUCGCCUGUGACGAAGCGUGAGUGACGGUAAUGGGUAAAGAAGCACCGGCUAACUACGUG